This 328-nucleotide RNase P RNA is filed under the name Fervidobacterium thailandense. Its description in RNAcentral is "RNase P RNA component class A". It matches the Rfam family "Bacterial RNase P class A". Rfam says of the family: Ribonuclease P (RNase P) is a ubiquitous endoribonuclease, found in archaea, bacteria and eukarya as well as chloroplasts and mitochondria. Its best characterised activity is the generation of mature 5'-ends of tRNAs by cleaving the 5'-leader elements of precursor-tRNAs. Cellular RNase Ps are ribonucleoproteins. The record is from RNAcentral. Lineage: Bacteria; Thermotogati; Thermotogota; Thermotogae; Thermotogales; Fervidobacteriaceae.
GGAGACAGACGGGUGAGCGCAAGCGGCCACACGCGGCCGUCUUGAGGAAAGUCCGGACUCCGUGGGCAGGGUGCUCGCUAACGGCGAGGUGGCGCGAGCCACGGAUAGGGCCAUAGAAACGGAAACCGCCCGAAAGGUGAAUACCGAGUAAGGCAAGGGUGGAAAGGUGAGGUAAGAGCUCACCAGCGGUGCAGCGAUGCACCGGCUUGGCAACCCACACCCGGAGCAAGGUCAAGCAGGGGGUUGGUGGCCCGCCUGGUUCCCCCGGGUAGACCGCUUAGAUAGAUGCUCACCGAAACAGAAUCCGGCUUACGGUCUGUCUCCGAGU